Long non-coding RNA from Solanum dulcamara, 21407 nucleotides. RefSeq lists it as uncharacterized. NCBI's taxonomy places the organism in Eukaryota, Viridiplantae, Streptophyta, Magnoliopsida, Solanales, Solanaceae. The record is from RefSeq and is a predicted model, not a curated record. The transcript is spliced from 6 exons.
AUGCUUUUAAGAUACUGAUGACUUCCAUUGAUGAACAACAAAGCUCAGAAGGAACAGAAGAGGAUUGCAGAGAGGAGAAAUUUUUCUAAGGGUGGUUGCUCUUCUCUGCAACUCCAAUGAUUUCUCAUAUGAAUAAAAUGAAAAAAAAUCAAACAACUCUUGAGAAUUUAUGACUAAAAUGGUCCUUUAUGUUAUGCAGUUGAGCUAAAUUCAUCUUCUCAAAGAAGAGAGUUCAUAGAGAGAAUUUUGAGUCUGUAAUUGAUAAUUGGCAAGAGAAAUUAAGAGACCCGUAUCUUGGCGGGGCGACCCGGAACGCAACCGGAGGUUAGCAGCCAUGGCGAUGUCUUUAUUUCUCUUGUUUUUUUAUCAACAGAUCUGAGCUUCAAUUUUACUAUUGUAGCUUGUAUUGUGUUGUUAUUCUAAAAGGCAUGUUUGGUAUGAAGAAAAAUGUAAUCUUUUUGUGAUCAAUUUUGUCAGUGUUUGGUUACUAGUGUAGCCAUCUGAGAAGAAGAAAGUUGGGGAUUUUUUUUUUUUGGUGAAAACUAAGGGCCUGUUUGGAUAUGCAAUAUGGAAUAAUGAGGUUAAUAGAGAGAAGGGAUUUUUUUUUUGUUAAGGGUGGUUGCCAGAGAAGAUCGAACAAAAGGUGCCUUUUUAAGUGUUGUUUUUGUUUUUGCCACUCUCUAUUGUGCCCAUGAUUUUCUUUAUAACAACUAAAGCAACAGCCCUUGUUAAUGAAAUACUCAGACAAACCACAGCUCUCUCUGUGUGUGUGUGUGUGUUGCCUUCCCCCCUUUGUGUCAUUGUGCAAAAGAGGCUGUGGUGAUGACAAUGUUUUACCUUCUGGGCUAACAAAAUUGGGCAUUGAGGAUAGUCUGACUGCAUAGUCUGACCGCGUAUCUUGGCUUGGCAAAUCCCAGGAUGGCCUGCAACUGAGGCUCACUCUUUUGCAUGCAACUGGCGAUUUUGCAGCUCAGUGUGUGUGUUGCUUUUUCCUCCCUUGGGUGAAAUUGUGCAAAACAGGCUGUGAUGAUGACACUGGGCUAACACAAUGGGGCAUUGAGGAUAGUCCGACCCGUAUCUUGGCUUGGCAAAUCCCAGGAUGGCCUGCAACUGAGGCUGUCUUUUGCAUGCAACUGGUGAUUUUGCAGCCAUGGCGGGGUUGCCUUUUCUUUGUUUGAGCAAAAAUACAGUAUCUGAGCCUCAAAUUUUUGAAUAUCGAAUUGGGGAACUCUUGUGCUUACAUUAAAGUUUGAUCCAAUUAGAAUGAUGUACAUUAUCACAAAAAGAUGGGUACUUUAUCUGCUUCAUAGAUAUAAACAUAUGAUAUCAGAGAGAAUUUAACAGAAGUGACUCAGUAAGCCUGCGUUUAAACCAAAAGCACUUUGCUUGAUAGAUAGAUAUAUAGAUAGAGAAUAUGAGGCUGUGAUGAUAUUUUCUUUCUUUCUUUUGAGGAACUCAAUAGGGCAAGAAAAUAAAGGGACUGUAUCUUGGCGGGGCAAGCCGGAUUGCUAGUGAUUUUGUGUCAUGCCAACGGUGUUUGCAGCCAUGGUGUCACCUUCACUUUCUUGUCUUAUCAACAGAUCUGAUCCUCAACUUUACUCUUACGGCGUCUUUGGUAUGAUGGAAAACAUUUUUCACGAUGAAAUCAGCACCUGUUUACCAUUGUAUCCCUACGAGGAGAAAAAGUUGUGAAAUUUUCAGUUGCCAGCCAAGAAUUCCUAAAAGAAGUAGAAAAUGAAAUGAGGUUAAUAGGGAGAAGGGAUUUCUUCUAAGGGUGGUUGCCCCUCUCUGUUGUGCCAAUGAUUUUCUGUGGCUACUAAACCAAUAGCCCUUGUUCAUGCAUUAUUCAGAAGCAGAAUAUGAUCCAUAUAUCUCAGUGAGCGUGUAUUCUUGGGGAAUUUACACUAAUGACCUUUUUGAGGUAGUGAUGAUAAUAAUAGCACUUUUUGGGUUAACAAAAUGGGGUAUUAAAGACAAUUCGACCUGUAUCUUGGCCUGACAAAUCCCAGGAUAGCCAGCAACUGAGGCUCUUUCUUUUGCAUGCAACCGGUGAUUUUGCGGCCAUGGCGUGGUGACAUUCUCUUUAAGGGGUCGUUUGGUUGCUGCUUAGGAAAGGAGCUGUUCAUGUUAGGAGGUUUUUUUUUUGAAGGUUGGUUGCCCCUAUCUGCAACUCCAGUUAUUUCUCAUAUGAAAAGAAAAUGAAAAAAAAAUCAAACAACCCUUUAAAUGUCAGGGAAUAAUUAUCCACACCCUGUUGAGAUUUUUGAAUCAAAUGGUCGUUUAUGUUACGGAGUUGAACUAAAUUCAUCUAACAAAGUAGAGAAAGAGAUAGAGAUAGAUUCCGAGGCUUCAGUGAUGCUUGACAAGAGAAAUUAGGAGACCGUGUCUUGGCAGGGCGACCUGGAAUGCAACCCUAGGUUUGCAGCCAUGGCGAUGUUUUCAUUCUCUUGUUUUAUCAACAGAUCUGAGCUUCAAUUUUACUCUCAUAGCUUGUUUGGAUGGUUACCUAUUGCGUUGUAUUGUUAUUCUAACAGCGUGUGUUUGGUACAAAGGAAAACAUUUUUUUAUGAAGAAUUCCAUCAGUGAUUGGUUUCCAAUGUAGCCCUCUGAAAAGAAGAAAGUUGGGAAAGUUCUGGAGAAAACUAAGAAUUUUCCUAAAGAAAGUUAGCCCAGGAAGAAAAAAUGAGGUUAAUAGAGAGAAGGGAUUUUUGUUAAAGGUGGUUGCCCCUCUCCGUUGUGCCAAUGAUUUUCUUUUUAACAACUACAGCAACAACCCUUGUUAAUGAAAUACUCAGACAAACAACAGCAUAGCCGUAGAUCUCAGUGUGUAUGUCUUGCCUUUCCCCCUUUGAAGUAAUUGUGCAAAAGAGGCUGUGAUGAUGACAAUGUUUUACUUUCUGGGCUAACUCAAUCGGGCAUUGAGGAUAGUCCUGCUAGUGUCUUGGCUUGGCAAAUCCCAGGAUGGCCUGCAACUGAGGCUCACUCUUUUGCAUGCAACUGGUGAUUUUGCAGCCAUGGCGUGGUUGCCUUCUCUUUGUCCGAGCAAAACUGCAGUAUCUGAGCCUCAAAUUUCUGAAAAUCGAACUGUGGACCUCUUGUGCUUACAUUUAAGUUUGCUCCAAUUAGAAUGAUGUACAGUUGUACACUGGGUCAUUUGCACUUUUCCCUUAUUUUGUGCUGGUCUUUAAUUUAUGCGUCUUGUAUCCAAAAAAAAAUUUGGCAGGCCAAGUUUAUAUUUUCUUGUCAUUAUAUCCCACAAGUUUUGCUAAUAUGACUUCAGUUUAAAAGAACUUAUGCCCCACUAGGCAUAAGUUCAGUUGCUAAAGGGCAAAACAUGCAACUUUAUGUUGCACACUAUCAGAAAAAGAUGGGUACUUUAUUAGCUUCUCAGAUAUAAGCCCAAGAUAUCAGGGAGAAUUUAAAACCCAGAAAGUCUGCGUUUAUUUCUGUGAAUGUUGAUCGUUGGUUAGGGAGUAGUUAUUCAUGUUAGGAGGGAGGGAGUAGUUAUUCAUGUUAGGAGGGAGGGAGUAGUUAUUCAUGUUAGGAGGGUUUUUUCGAAGGGUGGUUGCCCCUCUCUGCAACUCUAGUGAUCUCUCAUAUGAAAAGAAAAUGAAAAAAAAUCAAACCCCUUAAAUCUCAGGGAAAAAUUACCUACAACCUGUUGAGAUUUUUGAAUCAAAUGGUCCUUUAUGUUAUGGAGUUGAACUAAAUUUUCUCACAAAGAAGAGAGAGAGAGAAAGAGAAUUAUGAGGCUUCAAUGAUAAUUGACAAGAGAAAUUAAGAGACCUGUAUCUUGGCGGGGCGACCCGGAACGCAGCCCGAGGUUUGCAGCCAGGGCGGUGUCUUCAUUCUCUUGUUUUAUCAAUUGAUCUCAGCUUCAGUGCUCUUGUUUGGAUGGUUGUUACCAAAGUAUUGUAUUGUUAUUAAGGGUGUCUUUGGUAUGAAGGAAAAUGUUUGUUUUAUGAAGAAUUUCAUCAGUGUUUGGUUACUAAUGUAGCCCUCUAAGAAGAGGAAAGUUGGGAAAUUUUCUGGUGAAAACUAAGAUUUUUCCUAAAGUGUUAACUCAGAAAGAGAAAUAAGGUUAUAGAGAGAUGGGAUUUUUUCUUUAAGGGUGGUUGCCCUUCUCUGUUGUGCCAAUGAUUUUACGUUUAGCAACUAAUCAAUCAAUCAACAACUAUGAUUAUUGAAACAUAUGCAUGGAGUUUCUUGAAUCUACAACUUAAGGCGUAGAUCUCAGUGUGUGUGUGUGCGCGCAUUUCUUUUUCCUCCUUUUUGAGUAUUUGUGCAAUAGAGGCUGUGAUGAUGACAAUGUUUUACUCUCUGGGCUACCAAAAUCGGGCAUUGAGGACAGUGCGACCCGUAUCUUGGCUUGGCAAAUUCCACGUUGGCCUGAAACUGAGGCUCUCUCUCUCUCUCUUCCAUGCAACUGAUGAAUUUGCAGCCAUCACGUUGGUGCUUCUCUUUGUCCAAAUGCAUUAUCUAAGCCUCAAGUUUCUCGGAAUCGAACUGGAGACCUCUUGUGCUUUGAAAUACAUUAAAGUUUGCUCCAACUACAGAUCAAAAGAAUGAUGUACCACAGUAAUAUAGGUACUUUAUCUUCUUCUUAGAUAUAUAUCCAUUAUUUUAUAGACAAUUUAACCAAAGAGAGAAGGCUUGCAGAGAGGAGGAGUUUUUGAAGGGUGGUUGCCCCUCUCUGUAACUUCUGUGAUUUCUCAUAUGAAAAAGAAAAAUCAAACAGCCCUUUAUAUCUCAGGGAAAUAUUGUUCACACCCUGUUGAGAAUUUUCGACUCAAAUGAUCCUUUAUCUUAUGCAGUUGAACUUUUUUCUUCUCAUGAAGAAGAGAGAGAGAGAGAGAGAAUUCCAAGGCUGUGAUGAUACUUUCUUCUUUGGGGCAAGACAAAUUAAGAGAUCUAUCUUGGUGUGGCAACCUGGAUGGCGACCCAUUCUGUGUCAUGCAACCAUUGGUUGCAGCCACAGCGAUGUCUUCAUUUUCUUGUCUCAUCAACCGAUCUGAGCCUCAAUUUUUCUCUUAUUCGCUUGUUUGGAUGGUUGUUACCUAUUGUAUUGUAUUGUUAUUCUAAAAUGGUGUUUUUGGUAUGAAGGAAAAUGUUUUUCAUGUUGAAAUCAGUGUUGGUUACUAAGGUGGCCCUCUGAGAAGAAGAAAGUUGGGAAAUUUUCCAGGGAGUUCAAAAAGAGAAAUGAGGUUAAUUGAGAGAAGGGAUUUUAUGUUAAGGGUGGUUGCCCCUCUCUUUUGUGCCAAUGAUUUUCCUUUUCGCAACUAAACCAACAGCCCUUGUUCAUGAAAUACUGAAACAAACAUCAGUCAGCAGCUAUGCCAAUUGAAACAUAUGCAUGGAUUUUCUUCAAUCUACAGCUUCAGCCAUAGAUCUCAGUGUGGGUGUGUUUCUGAUUUCUACUUUUGGAGAAACCGUGCAAAAGAGGCUGUGAUGAUGACAAUGUUUUACUGAACAAAAUCGGGCAUUGAGGACAGUCUGACCUGUAUCUUGGCCUGGCAAAUCCCAGGAUGGCCUGCAACUGAGGCUCUCUCUUUUGCAUGCAACUGGUGAUUUUGCAGCCAUGGCGUGGUUGCCUUCUCUUUGUCCGAGCAAAAAUGCAGUAUCUGAGCCUCAAAUAUAUGAGCUGGGGACCUCUUGUGCUUUGAAAUACAUUUAAGUUUGCUCAGACCUCUCUAUAACAUCCAUCCUUUGUAAUAACAUUUCACUAUAAGAGCAAAGCAGCAGCAAAAACGUAGAAAAAUGGAGGUUCUGCCCCGUAUGAAGAAUGAGGCCAACAGAGAGAAAGGGAAUUCUUGGAAGGUGGUUGCCCUCUCUGUUUGGCCUAUGAUUUCUUCUUCAACAAAAUAGUAAACACACUUGGAUCUUAUCUAUACAACAACAUACCCAAUGUGAUCAACAAGUGGGGUUGGGGAGGGUGGGGUGUACACAGACCUUACUCCUACCUUUGCAGGGAGAGAGGUUGUUUCCAAUAGACUCUCGGCUCAAGAAAAAACAUACUUAUGUUUGUCAAAAAUUGCUCGAAAUUGUCCAAAUGUCUACUUGUGGGAAAGUUCCCCGUCUUUCAUAACAGGCUGUGAUGAUAUGGUUAAUCUGGGCUGAUGUUCGGGGAGACAAUCUGACCCAUAUCUUGGCAUGGCAAACCCGGAUGGUUUGUGAUUGAGUCAUCUCUUUCACAUGCUACCGGUUCCUUUUCAGCCAUGGCGUUGUCACAUUCUCUUUGUUCCAUUUACUGCAGAUCUGAGCCUCACUUUGCAAUAGUCCUUCUGGACAGUCCAGGAUACGAACCCGGGACCUGUGGUUUGGUGAACAUCAUUUGGGUUGUUCAGUUUUUCUUGAACACCUGAUGGUGUUCUCCGUCAAAUUUUUAGCUAAAAGAAUAAGGCAGUUGGAGAAAAAAUGGGAAGUUUUCUGUAUUUUCUAGGUGGUUGACCAUCUCCAUCAUGCCUAUGAUUUCUAUUUAUCUUUUAGCUCCUAGUAAUAUUAAGGACCAUGUUUGAUCAUUUUCUCCCUGUUUUCUGUUAUGUCGUACUCUGUUCCUCAGAGGCUGUGUUUUCCUGGCAAAGCAACAGCAAAGGCCUACAACAAUGAAUUGAAAAGGAAAAUAACGGGGCUGUGAUGAUAAUUUUACUGAGCAAAUGGAAUCAGGUAUUGUUGAUCUAGGCCUGUGUCUUGGCAGGGCGACCCCUAUUAUAGGGUUUGCAGUCAAGGCGGUUUCUAAUGACUUAAUGCCUCAGAUAAAUUAAAGAUCUGAGCCACAGAAGGAAGAAUAAGGCCUACCAAUAACCUUUUUUUUAUCAUAGGUAUAUUUAGGGGUGUUCAUAGUUCGGUUUUAUUUUGACCAAAAAGAAGGCAUUUCUAUUGCCAUUGAUGUGAUGCUGAUGUCAAUCGUACUCCCUCUGUAUCAUUUUAUUUCAUGUGUAACUGUCCAAAUUGCUAUGAAAAAAUUUCCAUCAUUCCAAAGAGGCUGAGAUGAUGUUGCUAAUCUGGGUUGUUAUUUGGGCAUAGAGAAAACUCGUAUCCUGGUGGGGCAAACCCGGAUCAUGCAACCGUUUCAUUUGCAGCCAUGGUGUUGUCAUCUUCUCUUUGCCCCAUUUUUACACAGAUUUGAGCUUCAACUUGCAAUGAGUCACUGUGGGUUCUCUAGGAUCCAAGCCCAGAACCUCAUUUGAUGGAAACCCAAUUCAUUUUAUUUGCUCAAAAGGAUGAGGCUUUUCCCUCCGAUAUGUCAAUGGUUUCUUCUCUGCUCUAGCCAACAACACUUUUAGUAUUUGUAUGUGGACGAAGUGCACAAAUAGCCUAUUUAAGACCAUUUCCAAGGUCAUUGGUGUAAUUCCCUGGAUUUUAGGGACUUACAACUUUACAGAUUAUAGAGUAAUGGAAGCUCAGCCCAGUAUGAAGAAUGAGGCCAACAGAGAGAAAAAGGGAAUUUCUUUGGAGGUUGGUUGCCCCCUCUGGUUGGCCAGUGAUUUCUCCUUUAACCAUACCAAAAACCCUCUGCAAAAGUUGAAACAAGAAACAAUAUUUGUUGCCAGCACCUUCAAUGGUGGCUAUUUGAUGUUGAAGGCAGUAGUACUAUUCAAUUUUCUGAUCAUUCUGAGCUAAGGUCUCAGUUGUUUUAUUAAUUUUUCUUGUUGAAGUUGUUCAAACGGGCUCUUCUGGAAAAGUUUCCCUUUUUUUUUGAAAGGGGCAGUGAUUAUAUUGCUAAUACGGGCUGAUGUUAGGGGCGUGGAGACAAUCUGACCUGUAUCUUGGCAUGGUAAAUCCGGAUGGCUUGUGAUUGAGUCUUCUCCUUUCACAUGCAACUGGGUUUUUUUGCAGCCAUUGCGCUGUCACUUUCUCUUUGCCCCCUUUUUUGCAGAUCUGAGCCUCAAUUUCCGACUAGUUCAACUGGACGUCCUACGGCUUGCAGAGUUCUGAACCUAAAGGCAUAAUACAUAAAUAUACCCUUUUACUUGGCUUCAGCUGCCCUCGUUUUCCUCCAAUUUUGGGUGUGCACAAGUAGGCACUUAAACCUGUAUAAAAUUGAACAAGCAGACACAAACAUCCUACGUGGCAUAAUACACGUAGGACACCACUUAGGACACAAAAUUGCCAUGUAGGAUGCCACUAGGACGAAUGUGUCUAUUUGUUCAAUUUUGUACAAGUUUAAGUGCCUACUUGUGCACACCUAAAGUUAGAGGGCAUAGAUGUAAGUUGAGACCAAGUUAAAGGGUAUAUUUAUGUAUUAUGUCGAACCUAAAUGAUGAAAAACCCUCUAUAUGCACACACAAACACACAUACCAUGAGAAAAUGUACAAGAUGGUCCCUUAUGGAGGCAGUGAUGAUCUUUCAAUCUAUCCUCUUGAGCUAGUAAUUGAGCACUGAUAGUACCCAACUGGUCUCUUGGCGGGGCAAUGACCCGGAUGCCUGUGAUUUUGUUGCAUGCAACUUGGGGAUCUUUGCAGCCAUGGUGUGGCAGGACUUUCUUUGCUUGAGCAUAAAUAGUGAUCUGAGCCUCAAUUGUCACUUAUAUCUUACUCUGUGUAUUUGGUAUGGAGGAAAAUAUUUGAGUGAAGCAGCCGUAGAUCUCAGUGUCUGUAUUUCUGUUUCCUCUUGGAGAAAUUGUGCAAAAGAGGCUGUGAUGAUGACAAUGUUUUACUUUCUGGGCUAACAAAUUGGGCAUUGAGGUCCGACCCGUAUCUUGGCUUGGUGAAUUCCAGGAUGGCCUGCAACUGAGGUUCUUUCUUUUGCAUGCAACUGGUGAUUUUGUAGCCAUGGCAAGGUUGCCUUUUCUUUGUUCGACCAAAAAUGCGGUAUCUAAGCCUCAAAUUUCUGAACUGGGGACCUGUUGUGCUUUGAGUUUGAAAUGCAUUAAAAUUUUGCUCAGACCUCGUUAUAACAUAUGUCCUAUGUGAUAACAUUUCAGUUUUCACUAUAAGAGCCAAAUUUUCUUUGGAACUGAUUUUCAUAUUAUUGCAUAUUAUACAUUCUUUAUAAUGUCGAGGCUCUAUUAGAAACAACCUCUCUACCUACACAAGGCAGGGGUAAGGUCUGCGUACACUCCACCCUUUCAGACCACACUUGUGGGAUUACACUGUGGGUAUGUUGUUUGUUUGUUUGUUCUUGUUUCAUUUUUUAUUCUUGUUUAUUUUGUCUUUAGGAAAGUGCAAGACUGAACAAGAUGUUAGAUUAGAUACAGUGCCUGAGCUGCUUUAACUUCACUUUGGCUUCUUGUUUAACCUGAUCUCCCUUGCCAUAAGAAAAAUAAAGAUUGCUUUAACUGGUUUUUUAAUAAGAAAUUUGUUUCGUUACAUUGCAUUAGCAUAAAAGGCAGAGAAAGGUAUGCUUGUGAAAUGGAGGUCCUUAUUGUAAGAUGUAAAAUGGAAGGUGAAAUUGAGACCAAAGUAAUAUGUGUUCAUUGUAUGUCAUUGUUGCCGUCUUCUGCUGCUGCUUAGUUGCUAACUUCACUUCCACCUGUCAACAUGGACGCUCUGAUGAGAAAUAUUUAAGUUAAACUAUGGAUCUAAUAAAACUGUAUCUUGGCUUGGCAAUCCAAAUGUUACUGAAAAAUUGCAGUCAUGGAAGUGACUUCCUUAUUUCUCUGAGCAUAUGGAUCGAAAAGAAAACAAAUACUCGUGUAUCUUGGCUGGGCAACCCGUUGGCAAGUGAGUUUUGUGUCAUGCAACCGGUGUUUGCAGCCAUGACAAUGUCUUCAUUCUCUCUUCUUAUUUUCCUCAACAGAUCUGAGCCUCAAAUUCUCUCUGAGAUCGUCUAUGGUAUACAACAAGUGAGCCUUAAUCCCCAGUGAGUAGGGGUCGGCUAUAUUAAUACUCACUGUCCAUGUAAUUUGAACUGAACGUCCACUGAACACACAACACAACCUUCUGAUCUGGAGUCGGACGCGCUACCAUUAUUCCAUGGAUCCUUACAGUGUCUUUGUAUGAUUCAAAACAUAUUUUCUUCUGGAUGAAAUCAGUAUUUAGUUAGCAAUGAGGAUAACAAGUGAAGGGAUCACAGAUCACCUGAAUAUAGGCUGUGAUGUUGAUUGCUUCUUUCUGGGAUAGCUACUUUACCGCGUGGAGGAAAUCUUACCCGUAUCUUGGCAGGGCAACCUGGUAUAGCAUCAUCUGCAUACCAUGUCUGCCGCCCUGGCGUGAUCGCUUUCGCUUUGAUGUUCAUAGAAAAGCAAAAUCUGAGCCCUAACAGUUUACAACAACCAUCUGCAAACCAAAACAGAAUGCACCAGCUGGAAUUGAACCCGGGUCUGUACUGCAGCAGGGUACUAUUCUACCACUACACCACUAGUACCGAGAAUUGAUCAUUUUCCUCUGUUUCAUAUUGCCAAGGCAACAGCAGAACCAUAUAACCAAGAAAAGGAAAAUAAAAUGAUGGGGCUGUGAUGAUUGAUUGCUAUUGAGAAUAUGGAACCUGGCACUGUAGUUUAAGCCUGUAUCAUAGCGGGGCAACCCGAAUUAUAGGGGUUGCAGCCAUGGCAGUGUCAAAGAACUCAUUGCCUGAGAUAAUUACUUAUCUGAGCCUCAAGUCUUUUGAAAUGGCUGAAUACGGUGGCACCUCAAACUUGCUGAAAGUUUUCACUUAGACACCUGACUAAAGGUGGUUCUAUUGAACACAUGAACUUGAACCACACUGUGUCUACUAGACACACGUUUCUGAAGUUGUCCAAACGGGCUCUUAUGGAAAAGUUCUCAUUUUCCAGAAGAGGCAGUGAUGAUAUUGCUAAUCUUGGUCUGACCUGUAUUUAGGCAUGGAAAACUGGGAUGGUUUGUGAUUGGGGCUUCUCUUUUCCGUUUGUGUUCAAAGGAUGUGGUUUUUUUAUGGAACUCGAGAAAGGUGAGAUAUUUAAAGGGUAGUUAGCUUUAGCCAAUGAAUUUUCUUGUACUUUUGUUACAUAGAGAAAGUUUAACAACCUUUGAAGAGAAAAUACAUAUCCCCCCCCCCCCCCAACUCCCGACCACCAAAAAAAAAAAUUGUACGAGUAAACCCAAUUCCUAAACCCUAGGCUUUGUGAGUGAGUCUAUGAUGAUAUUCUCCAGGAAGGAUGCUUGCAAGUCAGAUGUUUGAGCUGAUUCAUAUCUUGGCUACGCAAAGACAAGGAAUUUGUGAGGUGGGUUCUAUGUGCUCUCACACAAAGGCCUCUGCUUUUUGCAGCCAUGGUGGAUUAGACUCUUUCUGAUAGAUCAGAUUUAAAGCAGUAGUUUCUUGGAACCUUGCUUUAACUUUCAAGACUGUUCAACUCGUGGAACUUCAGAUGGUUUCGAUACAAGUUUUAAGUUGGUUCUUCUUACACUCUUCGACGAGUACAUGCAGCAGUUAAAGAGAGGCCUGUUUGCUCCAACACCUGCAGGUAAAUGAUGAAAUCUGGUCAGUAUAAGAAUUAGACAUAUCCAGCAGCUGAUUGACCUGUUCAAAUUUGAAUUUUGGCAUCAUAGAGAGAAUAUCAAGCAGUUAUAUGAUGUUUAGGAACUAAGAUUUUGUUGGUGAUCUCUCAUGUUAGUUGAAACUGAGAUUUAAAUUCAGCAUAGAGUUGAGCUUUCUAAGAUUCUUGGAAUAGUUUGUGAUACAGUAUGAGCAUAGGAUGGAUGUUCUUUAGAAUUCUUAAAAGAUCAAGAAUUGUGUGCUUUAAGAUCCCGUUUUACUCGAUUGUGAAUCAAGACAAAAGGUCGAAUGUACUUGUUCGAUGCGAUCACACAAAAUGAGACUUUUCGUCGUUACGUAACGAUGAAGCGAUAUGAUUCAAUGAAAUUUAAAUAACAAUUAAAACAAACAUUGAAUUUAAACUAAUAACACAAUACAUAAAUAACAACCAUCCAAACAAGCUGUUAUGAUAAAAAAAAGUUUCCAAUAUAUGAGAACUUCAUGACCAUCUUUGCGUACUGAAACAGUAAUGUCCUAAUAUGUUCCCUUGAUGAUUCAAACCCACAAUAUUUUCCUGUGGUGUAGUAUAUUUCUUGAGAUUUUCAUGAAAGAUAAAUAAAGAACUACUUUUUAAUUCCCCAGUAUGAUCUUGGUCGGCCAUAGCGAACUUGGGGAUUGGGCUAUAUAUUCUAGUGUUUAGCUGAAACCUUUAACCAUUGUUUAGCCAAGAAAGGAAGAAUGAGACAUCAGAAGGAAAAAGUGGAAUUUUCUAUUAAGGGUAGUUGCCCCCUCUCUCUGCUAUGUCAAUGAUUUCUUUCUUCUCCAUUCAUUAUAAAAACCAACAGCCCUUUGAUUAAAAAUAAAUCAAGAAUUAUCUAGACAUUUGGCCAUAGAAUUCUAAAUAUUUUUAUACAUAUGACCCAACAAAGAUAGCUGCUCUUUCAAGACUUCGGAACCUAAAAAAUGGGCGGUGAUGAAGAUUUGCUUCUUUCUGGCUAACAAUCUACUUCAUCGUGUUGAGAAGAUCCGACCCCUAUCUUGGCAGGGCGACCCAGUAAGGCAUCCAUAUGCUAACCGGUGUAUCUGCAGCCAUGGCCAUGUCGAUUUCUCUUUGCAUGUUUGUAGAACAGCAAAAUCUGAGCCCUAAAGUGUACGGCAACCAUUUGAUAGUUGUUCUCGGGAGUUGAGAUACCCAAUUGGUUUUUUCAGUUUUUCUUGAAAACACCAUUUCAAUGCAGUGCUCUAUCAAAUUUUUAGCUCAAAAAUUAGGUAAUCGGAGUAAAAAAGGAUUUUUCAGGGUGGUUGACCAUCUCCGGGAUGCCAGUGAUUUUAUCUUAGCUCUAAUCAACAGCCUUUUUAGCAUAUGUAUGAGGUCUAGACACCUCUACUGUGUCAGUUGAACACUCCAACUUUGUUCAACUUACAAAAUGAUCAUCUAGAUACCUCUAAGAUUUAUAUGCUGCCUGUGUUGACGAGACACAAUGGGGAUGAGUUGGAGUGUUUAGUUCCAUUUGAGACCAAGUUGAGGUGUCUAGAUGUGCACUCUCAAAGUUGGAGUGCUUACUUGUCAGCCAAAACCAAGUUUGAGUGUGUUUAUGUAUUAUGCCAUAUAUGUGUGUAUUGUAUGUCUGUUUCUGUCUCUCUAUCAGUGACUUCAUUUUCAGAUAAAGCAGCAGCAAAAGCAUAGAAAAGGGACAGUUAAGCAGACUUGCAGGGUUUCUGGUUAAAUUAUCUCUUAUAAAUCAGUGUUCUACAGAAAAGUGAAGGUUCAGCCUCACUAUUAAGAAUGAGGCCAACAGAGAGAAAAGGGAAUUCUUGGAGGUUGGUUGCCCCAUCUGUUUGGCCUGUGAUUACCCAUAAACAAAAUCAACAACCCUCUUUUGGAAGUACUAGUAUUGGUUUCUUGUUUUCUCUAAGUUCAGACCAAACAUACCUCUAAUUUUAGCUUAUGUUUGUGGGAUUUCACUGGGUAGGUUGUUGUUUGUUAAAAGUUGCUCGAAAUUGUCCAAACGCCUACAUGCGGGGAAGUUUCCUUCUUUCAAAUGAAGCUGUGAUGAUAAUGCUUAUGGCAGGAUCCUCACUAUAGUUUAGCACAGAAAGGAAGAAUGAGACAGCAGAGAGAUGGAAUUUCCUGUAAAGGGUGGCUGCCCCUCUCUGUCAUGUCUCCAUGAUUUCUUCUCCAUUCAUAUAAGCCAACAGCCCUUUGAGAAAAAGAAAGGAUCAAGAACUAUGUAGACGUUUGGCCAUAGAAUUCCAAAUAUUUUUAGAUACUUCUUCCUUUCUCUGCUUAUGCUUUUGCAAGGUAGAAGUGACCCAACAAGGUAGCUGUUUUUUCAUGAGUCUAGAACUUAAAUGAUGUUGAUUGAUCUGAAAAAUGGGCUGUGAUGAUGCUUUGCUUCUCUCUGGGCUAAUAAUCUACUAAACUGCGUUGACAAGAUCUGACCUGUAUCUUGGCGGGGCAACCUGGUAAGACAUCCAUUUGCAAACCGGUGUAUCUGCAGCCAUGGUGAUGUUGCUUUCUCUUUUGUGUAUUUGUAGAUCAGCAAAAUCUAAGCCCUAAAAGUUUUAUUAUAACACCCGAUUGGUCUUCAGUUUUUGUUGAACACUUUUUAGCUCAAAGUUGAGGUAAUCAGAGAAAAAAAGAGGAUUUUUCAGGGUGGUUGACCAUCUCCAAUAUGCCUAUGAUUUCUAUUGUGCUCUAAUCAACAGCCCUUUAGCUCAAAAAUGAAAAAGGGACUAUAUAUGCUCUUCCUGUUUCUGCUUCUUUAUAUACUACAGCUGAUUUUUGCAAAUAUUCACUUUUAUGUCCCUGUAAAUAAAAAGCUAGCUGUUUUUGUAAGAGCACUAAACCUAAAUGAGGUGUUCUAUUUAUGUUGGUUGAUCUGAAAAAGUUAAAGACGAUCCUGAAUUAGGAGCAAUCUGUGCAAAAACUUGAAAAAAUGGGCUGUGAUGAUGGGUAGCUUCUUUUUGGGCUAUAAUCUACUUUAUUGUGUUGAGAAAAUCCGAGCUGUAUCUUGGCAGGGCGACAUGGUAUGGCAUCCAUAUGCAAAGCUGUGUCUUGCAGCCAUGGCGUGUGUUGCUUUCACUUUGCAUAUUCAUAUACAGCAAAAUCUGAGCCCUAAAUGUUUUGGCUAAAAAUGAGGCAAUCGGAGAAACAAUGAGAUUUUUCAGGGUGGUUGUCCAUCUCCAGGAUCCCAAUGAAUUUUCCUUUGCUCUGAUCAACAACCCUUUUUUCCAUCUGUGACUACUUUGCUCUUGCGUGCUGGCUUUUUGAUGCAAAGCAGCAGCAAAAGCAUAGAAAAAUGGAGGUUCAACCAGUAUGAAGAAUGGAAAAGGGCCACAUAUACCCCUCUACCAUGAAGAAUGAGGCCAACAGAAAGAGAAGGGAAUUCGUGGAGGGUGGUUGCCCCCUCUGAUUGGCCUAUGAUUUCUCCUUUACCCAAAUCAAUAACCCUCUUUAGAUGUACUAGUACUGUUUUCUUGUUUCUCCGAGGUUAGCAAACAUACUCUAAUCUUAUCUUUUAUGUUUGUUACAAACUACUUGAAAUUGUCCAAACGCCUACUUGUGGGGAAGUUCCCAUCUUUCAAAAGUGGCUGUGAUGAUAAUGCUUAUGGAAAAUCCUCACCAUAGUUUAGCCCAGAAAGGAAGAAUGAGACAUCAGAGUGAUGGGAUUUUCUGUAAAGGGUGGUUGCCCCCUCUCUGCCACGUCCAUAAUUUCUUCUCCAUUCAUAAAAAAACAACCGCCCUUUCAGAAGAAAAAAGAACAAGAAUGUUGAUAUAUAUAUAUAUAUAUAUAUAUAUGCUUCUUCCAAUUUCUGCUUCAGCUACUACUACAGUUGAUCUUUGCAAAUAGUUACUUUUAUGUCCCUGUAAAAUACAAGGUAGAAAUGACACAACAGGUAACCACUUUUAAUGGGUGAUGUACAAGAAUGUUGAUUGAUCUGGAAAAAUGGGCUGUGAUGAUGAUUUGCUUCUUUCUGGGCUAUAUCUACUUCACUGCAUUGAGAAGAUCCGACCCGUAUCUUGGCAGGGCGACCCUGUAUGGCAUCAUCUGCAAACCGGUAUCUGCAGCCAUGGCGAUGUCGCUCUCUCUUUGCAUGUUUGUAGAACAGCAAAAUCUGAGCCCUAAAGUGUACGGCAACCAUUUGAUAGUUGUUUGCGGUAACUGAGAUACCCAAUUGGUGGCUUCAGUUUUUCUUGAACAACCCAUUUCAGAUGCAGUGCUUUAUCAAAAUUUUAGCUCCAAAGUGAGGUAAUCGGAGUAAAAAAGGGAUUUUUCAGAGUGGUUGACCAACCAUCUCCGUUAUGCUAGUGAUCUUAUCUUAGCUCUAAUGAACACUUUUUAGCAUAUGUAUGAGGUAUGUAUGUAUAUAUGUGUGUGAGAGAGAAAGAGAGAGAAUGUGUCUGCAUUUUUCAGAUUAAGCAGCAGCAAAAGCAUAGAAAAGGGACAGUUAAGCAGACUUACAGGUUCUCUGGUUAAAUUAUCUCUUAUAAAGUAGAGUGUUCUAGGGGAAUCUUAGUAGCUCAGUUGGUUGGUUAGCAAAUGGCUACCUGAAUUCACCUUGUAAUCCCCUCACCCAUUCCCCUUCUCCUACCCCCAGUUCUUCAAAAAAAAAUCAGUGUGUUCUAUAAAAAAAUGGAGGUUCAGCCACGUUUUAGAUUGAGGCCAAUAGAGAGAAACGGGAAUUCUUGGAGGGUGGUUGCCCCCUCUGUUUGGCCUAUGAUUUCCCCAUAAACAAAAUCAACAACCCUCUUCAUAAGUACUUGUACUGUUUCUUGUUUUCUCUAAACUUAGACCAAACAUCCCUCUAAUUUUACCUUAUGUUUGUGGGAUUUCAUUGGGUAGGUUGUUUGUAAAAAGUUGCUCGAAAUUGUCCAAACGCCUACUUGUAGGGAAGUUUCCAUCUUUCAAAUGAGACUGUGAUGACAAUGCUUAUGGGAGAACCUCACAUAGCUUAUCCCAGAAAGGAGAAUGAGACAUUAGAGAGAGAGGAUUUUUUGUAAAGGGUGGUUGGCCCCUCUGCCAUGUCCAUGAUUUCUUCUCCAUUCAUAAAAAUCAACAGCCCUUCGAGAAAAACAGAACAAGAAAAUGAUAAAAGGGACUAUAUAUGCUGCUUCUUUUUUUUUGAAACUGAAUUGAUAAUGCUUCUUCCCUUUUCUGCUUCUGCUGCUACUACAGCUGAUUUUUGCAAAUAGCAAUUUUAUGUUCGUGUCAGCUAAGUUGUUCGGACUCAUGUGUGGCUUUCCAUUAUGGAUGCAGAUCUAGAGGUCGGAUCCUCUGUGAUCUAAAUUUUAAGAUUCGGGGAUACAGAUCCAUGUAUGGAUACGGAUGUGGGGAUUCAACUAAAAAUAAUUCAAAUAUCUAAAAAUAGAAUUAUUAAACCUAAAUUACGAGAUAUUAUGUGGAAAACUUGAGGAGAAUAUUGAUCAAGAGGAGCAUCCUGGAAGGAGAUAAAAGGAAAGGGAGUGACAAUAGAAAUUUAUAUAUACAAGGUAUUCCUUUUUAUUCAAUUUCACUUUAGUUUUGUUUUGAUUUCAGAAACCAUUGAAUCUUUCCAGAAUUUCUUCCUCAAAUUUGGUCAAAGUACCCAAAACCGGUUGACCAGAUCGGGUAUGGAUCCACACCUACACCCACGCCGUGUAGGCACGGGGUGCGGCACCGAAAGUGAAGAGUCCGAGCAACUUAGCUUGUAUGUAUAAACAACAACAACAUACCCAGUGAAUUCCCACUUAGGGUCUUAAGGAGGAUAGGAUAUACGCAGACCUUACCCUACCAUUGUUGUGGAGUGGAGAGGAUGUUUCUGAUAGAGCCGAAGCAGUAUUGCAAGAAAAAUAUAACAACCAAAUAGUAAAAUGGGUGAUUUUAUGCCCCUGUGUAUGUACAAGGUAGAAAUGACACAAUAAUGUCGGUGAGUGUAAUUGUCACGCUUUUAAUGGCACAAGACAACUGAUGUUGCUUGAUCUGAAAAAUGGGCAGUAAUGAUGAAUUGCUUCUUUAUGGGCUGUACUAUACUGCAUUGAUGAAAUCCGACCUGUACCUUGGUGGGGUGACUCGGUAUGGCAUCCAUUUGCAAACCGGUGUCUUGCAGCCAUGGCAUGUGUUACUUUCUCUUUGCAUGUUUGUAGAACAGCAAAAUCUGGGCCCUUAAAGUUUUACGGAAAGAAUUGAAUGGACGCUCAUUUCUCUAGAACUGGAAAAUUCAAUUGGGUUCUCUAGUUUUUCUUUCAGAUGCAGUUCUCUAUCAAAAUGUUCAGCUAAAACUGAGGCAAUCUGAGAAAAAAGGAGAUUUUUCAGGGUGGUUGACCAUAUCCAGCAUGCCUAUGAUUUUGUUUUUGCUCUGAUGAACAACCCACUCUAUGAGACUCUCUCUCUCUCUCUGUGUGUGUGUGUGUGUCUAUAUAUAUGUGUGUGUGUGUGUAUAUAUAUAAACUUAUGCUUCUGCUGCUGCAACAGCUGAUUUUUGGAAAUAGCCACUUUUAUGCCCCUCUAAAUACAAGAUAGCUGUUUUUAAUGGUGCUAAGGGCACAAGACAACUGAUGUUGAUUGAUAAAAAUGGGAUGUGAUGAUGAUUUGCUUCUUUCUGGGCUAUAAUCUACUUUUGAGAAGAUCCAACUUGCAUCUUGGUGGAGCGACCCAGUAUGGCAUCAGUUUAGCUGAAACCUCCCCAUUGUUUGGCCCAGAAAGGAAGAAUGAGACAUUAGAGAGAAAUGGGAUUUUCUGUAAAGGGUGGUUGCCCUCUCUCUGUUAUGUCCAUGAUUUCUUCUCCUUUCAUAAAACACCAACAGCCCUUUGAGAAAAAGAAAAGAUCAACAAUUAUGUAGGCGUUUGGACAUACAACAACAACAACAUACCCAGUGAAAUCUCACUAAGUGGGAUCUGGGGAGGCGUUUGGACAUAGAUUCCAUAUAUAUAUAUAUAUAUAUGCUUUUUCUCUCUUCUGCUUGUGCUUUUGCAAGGUAGAAAUGAUACAACAAGUUAGCUGUUUUAUUGAUGUUGAUUGAUCUGAAAAUGGGCUGUGAUGAUAUUUGCUUCUUUCUGGGCUAAUAAUUUACUUCACUGCAUUGAGAAGAUCUGACCCGUAUCUUGGCGGGGCGACCCGGUACGACAUCAUCUGCAAACCGGUGUCUUGCAGCCAUGGCAUGUGUUGGUUUCUCUUUGCAUUUUCAUAUAUAGCAAAUUCUGAGCCCUAAAGUGUAUGGCAAGCAUGUGAAGGUCUUAAAUGGAUGGUCGUUCUCGGAAACUGAGAUACCCACUUGGGUUUUUCAGUUUUUUUUUAAACCCCAUUUUUCAGAUGCAAUUCUCCAUCAAAUUUUUUCUUUAAAAUGAGGUAAUCGGAGUAAAAAUGUGAUUUUUCAGGGUGGUUGACUAUCUCCGGUAUGCCAGUGAUUUUAUCUUAGCUCUAAUCAACAGCCCUUUUAUCAUAUCUAUAUUAUAUUAAAAGCAUGAAGGUCUUUAGCGAAAUGUUGUUAGCUGUUUUUACCCAUUAAAACUAGAUUUCACACUAGAUAAAGUUGUCAUUUUACUAUUUUCCUAAUAUUUUGGACUUUAAAAUCAACUAAAAUUUAUGUAAUAAAUCCUUCCUAAUAUUUAGGACUUCAAAUCAACCAAAUAUCUGUUUGUGUUCAAGGAAUGAGGCUUUUCUAUGGAACUCGAGAAAGGUUGAGAUUUUCUAAGGGUGGUUAUUCCCUUUCUCUGAAGUUCAAUUUAGCCGAUGAAGUUUCCAGUACUUCUGCUACAAAGAGAGAGAUUAACAACCCUUUCAUCAACUACUGCCAAUAAUGAUCUUGCUGAUGAUGAUGAUUCGCCAUGGCUUUGGUCACAAAUAUCUAAUUAGAUUUUCGGAAAACAGAAGGAAAAAAAAAGAACUAUUUUUUCCUUCACUGAUCUCUUGGUCAGCCAUGGCAAGAUAAAAAGAACUUGGGAAUUGGGUAUUGUGCUAUAUAUAUGUACAACAUAGUAUGUUUUGCAGUACCCUCAUCAUAGUUUAGCCCAUAAAUGAAGAAUGAGACAUAGAGGUGGGAUUUUCUGUAAAGGGUGGUUGCCCUUUCUCUACUAUUUAUGUCCAUAAUUUCUUUCUCCAUUCAGGAAAACCAACAGCCCUUUGCGAAAAAGAAAAGAUCAAGAAACUGAAAGCGAGACCAUGAUAUAUAUAUAUAUAUAUAUAUAUAUAUAUAUAUAUGUUGUACAUAUAUAUAGCACAACAAGCUAGCUUCUUUUUUAAGAGUUCGGAACCUAAAUGAGGUGUUUUAUUGAUUUUGAUUGAUCUGAUAAAAUGGGCUGUGAUGAUGAUUUGCUUCUUUCUGGACUAUAGUCUGCUUCACUACGUUGAGAAAAUCCGACUCGUAUCUUGGUGGCGACCUGGUAAGGCAUUUUGCUAACUGGUGUAUCUGCAGUCAUGCGACGUCGCUUUCUCUUUGCAUGCUCAUAUACAGCAAAAUCUGAGCCCUUAUGGCAAGCAUGUGAUGAUCUUAAAUUGAUGGUCGUUCUCAGGAACUGAGAUACAUACUUUGGUUUUUCAGUUUUUGUUGAACCCCAUUUUUCAGAUGCAGUUCUCCAUCAAAAUUUUAUCUCAAUAAUGAGGUAAUCGGAGUAAAAAGGAUUUUUCAGGGUGGUUGACCAUCUCCGGUUUACCAGUGAUUUUAUCUUGGCUCUAAUCAAUAGCCCUUUUAUCAUAUAUAUAAAUAAUAAUAAUUGGAUUUCUCUUUCUGUCUCUCAGUCUGUGACUGCUUUUUCAGGCAAAGCAGUUGCAAAAGCAUAGAAAAAUGUAGGUUCAGCCCAGUAUGAAGAAUGAGGCCAACAGAGAGAAAAGGGAAUUCCUUGAGGGUGGUUGUUCCCUCUGCUUGGCCUAUGAUUUCCCCAUAAACAAAAUUAACAACCCUCUUCAGAAGUACUAGUACUGUUUAUUGGUUUCUCUAAAUUCUUUGAGAGUGGUUACCCUCUCUGAUUGGCCUAUGAUUUCCCUGAUCAGCCAAACCAACAAUCCUCCGUUGGUAUAUGUUUCUUUUGAUGUAAUGUUGAUAGCAAGAGUAGUAAUGCUCCCUAUGUUCCUAUUUACUUGUAACUGUUCAGUACUGAUAUGGAAAAGAAUCCAUCUUUCGAAAGAGGCAGUGAUAAUAUUGCUAAUUCUGGGCAAGGAGAAAAUCCGACUCGUAUCUUGGUGGGGCAAACCCUGACUAUGUAACCGUCUCAUUUUGCAGCCAUGGCCUUAUCAUCUUCUCUUUGCCCCAUUUUACACAGAUCUGAGCCUCAACUUCCAUUGCGUCCCAGGAUCCAAACCCCGAAGCUCAUUUGAUGGAAACCUAGACCUAGUUCAUUUUAGCUUGAAAGGACGAGGCAAUAAGAGGAAAAUGGGGAUUUUUACAGGGUGGUCGACCACCUCCGGUGAACAAUGUUGCAUUUCAUCUUUGCUGGGUGGUGAACCGGUGUCAUUUCAAUUAUUGGUGAUACUGAUGGCAUCUUGAUUGGGUUGAACGACGAAAAUUGGAUCUACCCACAUGAAAAGAGGAUUAUUUACAACAGAGAUGAAGUCGUUUUUUCAAGUUUUUUGGCUAUCCAUCCCUAUGAAGACGGAAGACUGUCUUCCAUCCCUAUGAAAACGAAAGAGAAAGAUAAAGCUUCAUUUCUCGGCAUUGCAAAGAUUGUGUUUAAAAACAAAAAGCUUCAUUGGUUAAGAUUUGGAACUGAGCUUCGCUUCUGGCAAAACAUCGGGAGGGAGUGCUACUGUUUCCUUAAUUUAUCAAUUCUCAUCUAUGAAAGGGAUUCAAUUCGAUAUCUUGCGUACGAAUUCAUGUUGUCAACGAGGAUCAAAUCCUUAAAAUUAAAAAAUUCAGAGAAUUGUUGGACUCAAAUUUUCUUCUUUUACAAGUGUUCUAACUUGCUAUACCUUUGGAAUGUUUUGUUCUAUAUUAUCUCAUUUUGUCUUUUCAUAUUUGAUUGAUUUUAUUAAGUUCACGUGUGACUAUUAUGUAAUAAUUAUUUUUCGAGUUUAGAAAAACUGAAAAGAUAAGGUGACAAAAAAGAGAUGAAAGUUAA